RNAcentral lists this long non-coding RNA (573 nucleotides) under Homo sapiens (human). Its description in RNAcentral is "HSALNT0376250". The record is from RNAcentral. Lineage: Eukaryota; Metazoa; Chordata; Mammalia; Primates; Hominidae.
UGGGUUUGUUGGCUCAGGAACCCAAUCUGCAUGAUCUUGUUUAUAGCCAGCUACAAACAUUUUGCAGCGUUUUACUAAACGUUUGUGAAGUGUUGUCAUAUAAAACAUCUCUUAUGAUACUUACAGAAGUCCCGAGGUAGACAGAAGACUUACCUAGUAUACUCUUUUUAUGGACAAGAAAACGGAGAAAGUUUAAAGAGACUUGACCCAGCUUAACAAAAGGUCUGAUGGAAGGCUUUCUCAUUUCACAGCUGACAGCACUGGAGACAGAGCAGGAUCACAGAAGAAGAAAAUAAUGAGACCCUCAACUGGCUCUGAGAAAGCAAGCUAUCAUCUUGUGAAAUGCCCUGUGGAAAAGCCCAUGUAGCAAAGGACAGCCAAUAGCCAACAGAAAGCUGAUGCCCUCAGUCCAACAGCCUGCAAGAAACUGAAUUCUGCCAGCAACCAUGUGAGAUUGGAAGCAGAUUCUUCCGUGCAGUCUUGUGAGAGAUUAUGAAGCAAAGGACUCAAGUUGUGCCCAGAUUCCUGACCCACAGAUACCGUGUGAUAAUAAAUGCAUAUUGUCUUAAACCA